This 653-nucleotide ribosomal RNA is filed under the name uncultured bacterium. Its description in RNAcentral is "partial 16S ribosomal RNA". It matches the Rfam family "Bacterial small subunit ribosomal RNA", at positions 728 to 1381 of the family's 1533-position model. The record is from RNAcentral.
UNUGGUCUGUAACUGACGCUGAGGCUCGAAAGCGUGGGGAGCAAACNGGAUUAGAUACCCUGGUAGUNCACGCCGUAAACGAUGAGUGCUAGGUGUUAGGCCCUUUCCGGGGCUUAGUGCCGCAGCUAACGCAUUAAGCACUCCGCCUGGGGAGUACGACCGCAAGGUUGAAACUCAAAGGAAUNGACGGGGGCCCGCACAAGCGGUGGAGCAUGUGGUUUAAUUCGAAGCAACGCGAAGAACCUUACCAGGUCUUGACAUCCCUCUGAUCGCUCUAGAGAUAGAGUUUUCCUUCGGGACAGAGGUGACAGGUGGUGCAUGGUUGUCGUCAGCUCGUGUCGUGAGAUGUUGGGUUNNNNNNNNNNACGAGCGCAACCCCUAUUGUUAGUUGCCAUCAUUCAGUUGGGCACUCUAGCGAGACUGCCGGUAAUAAACCGGAGGAAGGUGGGGAUGACGUCAAAUCAUCAUGCCCCUUAUGACCUGGGCUACACACGUGCUACAAUGGCUGGUACAACGAGUCGCAAGCCGGUGACGGCAAGCUAAUCUCUGAAAGCCAGUCUCAGUUCGGAUUGUAGGCUGCAACUCGCCUACAUGAAGUCGGAAUCGCUAGUAAUCGCGGAUCAGCACGCCGCGGUGAAUACGUUCCCGGGCCU